UACGUAGGGACCGAGCGUUGUCCGGAAUCAUUGGGCGUAAAGAGCGUGUAGGCGGCCCGAUAAGUCCGCUGUGAAAGUCCAGGGCUCAACCCUGGGAUGCCGGUGGAUACUGUCGGGCUCGAGUCCGGAAGAGGAGUGUGGAAUUCCUGGUGUAGCGGUGAAAUGCGCAGAUAUCAGGAGGAACACCAAUGGCGAAGGCAGCUCGCUGGAACGUUACUGACGCUGAGACGCGAAAGCGUGGGGAGCAAACAGG
This 253-nucleotide ribosomal RNA is filed under the name uncultured bacterium. Its description in RNAcentral is "partial 16S ribosomal RNA". It matches the Rfam family "Bacterial small subunit ribosomal RNA", at positions 524 to 776 of the family's 1533-position model. The record is from RNAcentral.